AGUCGAACGAGGUCCAACCAGUGGCAACACUGGGGAAGACCUAGUGGCGAACGGGUGAGUAACACGUGAGGAACCUUCCCCGAAGACUGGGAUAAGCCCUCGAAAGGGGGUCUAAUACCGGAUAUCCCCUCCAUGUCGCAUGGCGAGGAGAGGAAAUGGUCCGCCGCUUCGGGACGGUCUCGCGGCCUAUCAGCUUGUUGGUGAGGUAAAGGCUCACCAAGGCAACGACGGGUAGCUGGUCUGAGAGGACGAUCAGCCACACUGGGACUGAGACACGGCCCAGACUCCUACGGGAGGCAGCAGUGGGGAAUCUUGCGCAAUGGGCGAAAGCCUGACGCAGCAACGCCGCGUGCGGGAUGAAGGCCUUCGGGUUGUAAACCGCUUUCAGUAGGGACGAAUUCAGACGGUACCUACAGAAGAAGCACCGGCCAACUACGUGCCAGCAGCCGCGGUAACACGUAGGGUGCAAGCGUUGUCCGGAAUCAUUGGGCGUAAAGAGCUCGUAGGCGGCUUAGUAAGUCGGGUGUGAAACCUCCAGGCUCAACCUGGAGACGCCACCCGAUACUGCUAUAGCUAGAGUCCAGUAGGGGAGUGCGGAAUUCCCGGUGUAGCGGUGAAAUGCGCAGAUAUCGGGAGGAACACCAGCGGCGAAGGCGGCACUCUGGGCUGGAACUGACGCUCAGGAGCGAAAGCGUGGGUAGCGAACAGGAUUAGAUACCCUGGUAGUCCACGCCGUAAACGUUGGGCACUAGGUGUGGGGUCUAUUCAACGGACUCCGUGCCGUAGCUAACGCAUUAAGU
This 800-nucleotide ribosomal RNA is filed under the name uncultured Actinomycetes bacterium. Its description in RNAcentral is "bacterial SSU rRNA". It matches the Rfam family "Bacterial small subunit ribosomal RNA", at positions 60 to 865 of the family's 1533-position model. The record is from RNAcentral. Lineage: Bacteria; Bacillati; Actinomycetota; Actinomycetes.